GAUGAACGCUGGCGGCGUGCCUAAUACAUGCAAGUCGAGCGAACAGACGAGGAGCUUGCUCCUCUGACGUUAUCGGCGGACGGGUGAGUAACACGUGGAUAAACUAACUAUAAGACUGGGAUACCUUCGGGAAACAGGAGCUAAUACCGGAUAAUAUAUUGACCCGCGUGGUUCCCUAGUUAAAGUCGGUUUUUGUGUCACUUAAAGCUGACUCCGGGCCGCAUUAGCUUGUUGGCAAGGUAACGGCUUACCAAGGCUACGAUGCGUACCCGACCUGAAAGGGUGAUCGGCCACACUGGAACUGAGACACGGUCCAGACUCCUGCGCGAGGCAGCAGUAGGGAAUCUUCCGCAAGGGGCGAGAGCUUGACGGAGCAACGUCGCGUGAGUGAUGAAGGUCUUCGGAUCGGAAAACGCUGUUAGUAGGGAAGAACAAAUGUGUAAGUAACUAGGCACGUCUUGACGGUACCGAAUCAGAAAGCCACGGCUAACUACGUG
This 497-nucleotide ribosomal RNA is filed under the name uncultured bacterium. Its description in RNAcentral is "partial 16S ribosomal RNA". It matches the Rfam family "Bacterial small subunit ribosomal RNA", at positions 28 to 507 of the family's 1533-position model. The record is from RNAcentral.